This 440-nucleotide ribosomal RNA is filed under the name uncultured bacterium. RNAcentral's name for it is "bacterial SSU rRNA". It matches the Rfam family "Bacterial small subunit ribosomal RNA", at positions 58 to 520 of the family's 1533-position model. The record is from RNAcentral.
CAAGUCGAACGGUAACAGGUCUUCGGAUGCUGACGAGUGGCGAACGGGUGAGUAACACAUCGGAACGUGCCCGAUCGUGGGGGAUAACGCAGCGAAAGUUGUGCUAAUACCGCAUACGUCCUGAGGGAGAAAGCGGGGGACCGCAAGGCCUCGCGCGAUGAGAGCGGCCGAUGUCAGAUUAGCUAGUUGGUGAGGUAAAGGCUCACCAAGGCGACGAUCUGUAGCGGGUCUGAGAGGAUGAUCCGCCACACUGGGACUGAGACACGGCCCAGACUCCUACGGGAGGCAGCAGUGGGGAAUAUUGGACAAUGGGCGCAAGCCUGAUCCAGCAAUGCCGCGUGAGUGAUGAAGGCCUUAGGGUUGUAAAGCUCUUUCGCACGCGACGAUGAUGACGGUAGCGUGAGAAGAAGCCCCGGCUAACUUCGUGCCAGCAGCCGCGG